This 254-nucleotide ribosomal RNA is filed under the name uncultured bacterium. Its description in RNAcentral is "partial 16S ribosomal RNA". It matches the Rfam family "Bacterial small subunit ribosomal RNA", at positions 524 to 776 of the family's 1533-position model. The record is from RNAcentral.
UACGUAGGUGACAAGCGUUGUCCGGAUUUACUGGGCGUAAAGGGCGCGUAGGCGGUCAGCACAAGUCAGUUGUGAAAUCUCCGGGCUUAACUCGGAAAGGUCAACUGAUACUGUGCGACUAGAGUGCGGAAGGGGCAACUGGAAUUCUCGGUGUAGCGGUGAAAUGCGUAGAUAUCGAGAGGAACACCUGCGGCGAAGGCGGGUUGCUGGGCCGACACUGACGCUGAUGCGCGAAAGCCAGGGGAGCGAACGGG